AAUCACUGAUCCAACCUCUUGCCCGAUGCCCGGGCAUGGCCCGAAGGCCAUCGCCUCAGGAUCCCCCGACGU
This 72-nucleotide small RNA is filed under the name Pseudomonas fluorescens Pf0-1. Its description in RNAcentral is "Pseudomonas sRNA P10". It matches the Rfam family "Pseudomonas sRNA P10". Lineage: Bacteria; Pseudomonadati; Pseudomonadota; Gammaproteobacteria; Pseudomonadales; Pseudomonadaceae. The record is from Rfam by way of RNAcentral.